UGGGGAAUUUUGGAUAAUGGGCGAAAGCCUGAUCCAGCCAUGCCGCGUGAGUGAAGAAGGCCUUCGGGUUGUAAAGCUCUUUUAGUCGGAAAGAAAGAGUUGCAAUGAAUAAUUGUGAUUUAUGACGGUACCGACAGAAAAAGCACCGGCUAACUACGUGCCAGCAGCCGCGGUAAUACGUAGGGUGCGAGCGUUAAUCGGAAUUACUGGGCGGAAAGGGUGCGCAGGCGGUCUUGCAAGUCAGAUGUGAAAGCCCCGGGCUUAACCUGGGAAGUGCGUUUGAAACUACAAGGCUGGAGGGCAGCAGAGGGGAGUGGAAUUCCAUGUGUAGCAGUGAAAUGCGUAGAGAUGUGGAAGAACACCGAUGGCGAAGGCAGGUCCCUGGGUUGACACUGACGCUCAUGCACGAAAGCGUGGGGAGCAAACA
Molecule: ribosomal RNA, 427 nt
Filed under: uncultured bacterium
Lineage: Bacteria
Description: bacterial SSU rRNA
Rfam family: Bacterial small subunit ribosomal RNA
Source: RNAcentral